CCUCAGCAUGAACCCAUCUUUCUUUUCCUCGUGGAGACUUGGGUCCUCGUACUGAAGCUCUGAAUUUAUAGUCCUUCCACAUAUAUGGAAAACUCUGAUGCCCGUAGGGAUGGACCUCGAAAAAAUACAUGAAUGGCACAGGUCCACAUUUCCUGUGGUGAGCCAAGGUAUCCCCAGCUGUUACAGCUUGGAGAAAAAGAGCAGGAGCCCAUCUCUGAAAGGAAAGGCAAAGGUGACUUGGCACCUCCGUGUGUUGCUGGCUGAAAUGGAGGGAUUAUUCUUUGCUGUCUGUAACAUCAUUGCUGCUGAAUCCCUGGAUGCCUCAAACAUGGCACUCUGGGACAUGAGAGAUGGCAUCUUCACCUGUGGAGAAAAAAAAGCAACAAAAAAAUUCUAGAAUGGCAGUGCAGAAAGGAAUCAAGCCUGCAGUUGAUCCCUACGGACAAAUGUCA
Molecule: long non-coding RNA, 452 nt
Organism: Hirundo rustica (Barn swallow)
Lineage: Eukaryota; Metazoa; Chordata; Aves; Passeriformes; Hirundinidae
Exons: 4
Source: RefSeq, a predicted model, not a curated record